Long non-coding RNA from Anastrepha ludens (Mexican fruit fly), 1070 nucleotides. RefSeq lists it as uncharacterized. The record is from RefSeq and is a predicted model, not a curated record. The transcript is spliced from 3 exons. NCBI's taxonomy places the organism in Eukaryota, Metazoa, Arthropoda, Insecta, Diptera, Tephritidae.
UUACUUGCAUUUGGUUGUGGAGUGCGCGUUGGUUAAACGUAUUUUCGUACGCUACGAAACGCACACGAGUGUUUAUAAGUACAAUAAAUAACUCUCGAAACGAGGAAAACGAAUUACAAGUGGAUGCGCGCGCGAUUUCUCUCUCAAUUUUCAGUAAGUGGUUAGUUGUGCUACAAAAAUAUACUCGCUGAAUACUUCCCAAAAAAGUAGUGAUUUUUUCGUCUGCUUGGAAAAAGUGAAAAAAUAAAAUUAAAAUCGGCUGAGUGGUAGAUGCAAAUGUUUUGACCGAAAAAUACACACAAUCCAAAACAAAUAAAUUUGCUAAAUAUUGCAGAAAAAGCAGAGGAUGUGUGCAGGCGGAAAAAAGCUGAGUGGCAUAAACCACUAAACCGAAAUCGUUUUUUAUGCGGUACGUUUGUUGUGAAGACGGUCUCGCAAACGCUAUGUGAUAAAGUGGCAAUGACGUCUCCGCGUGGGCAAUAAACGUUAAACAUAAAAAACACGUAUGUUGUAUUCUCACGCCACUCCUUUUUUCUGAAUGCAUGAUUAUUCUGCGGCUUAAAUGUACUAUACAAAUCGAUAAAUUGUGUAUGCAAAUACUUGAUUAUUUAUCUGUGUGCAAAUACGCGCGUGAGUGUAUUUGAUACGGCAGCAUUAUUUGCGAUUUUAAUUCGCGUACAGCAGCCGUAAUUAAAUUAGCAGCAGCAGUAAUGUGAAUGAGUGCCCCUGAACGCAUGUGAAUUGAUUGUGCAAAAAUAGCGAAUGAUACUAAAAAAAUAAAUAAAUUAUUAUACAAAUACAUAUACAUAUGUACGUUCUGCAUUAUCAGUGUUUGUCAGAAGUUGAAGCGUCAAUACAUUCCCGAAGCAGUGAAAAUUGGAAUUAUCCAACAAGUGCUAAUCAAAUUAGCUACAAAUAGAAAUUCAGCGAAAUUUCCAGUUGGAGGCUUAUGGCACAAGAAUAAAAUUGAAAACACAUACAUAAGUGAUGGUGAGUAGUUUUACACUUUUUACACUACACAGUAUAAGUGAUACAUAAUAUUUAUUUAGCAUUAGAGUAAAGUGCAAUAC